AUUGAACGCUGGCGGAAUGCUUUACACAUGCAAGUCGAACGGCAGCACGGACUUCGGUCUGGUGGCGAGUGGCGAACGGGUGAGUAACAUAUCGGAACGUAUCCAAUAAUGGGGGAUAACGAGUCGAAAGAUUCGCUAAUACCGCAUACGCUCUACGGGGGAAAGCUGGGGACCUUCGGGCCUGGCGUUAAUGGAGCGGCCGAUAUCUGAUUAGCUAGUUGGUGAGGUAAAGGCUCACGAAGGCGACGAUCAGUAGCUGGUCUGAGAGGACGACCAGCCACACUGGGACUGAGACACGGUCCAGACUCCGAAGGGAGGCAGCAGUGGGGAAUUUUGGACAAUGGGCGCAAGCCUGAUCCAGCCAUUCCGCGUGAGUGAAGAAGGCCUUCGGGUUGUAAAGCUCUUUCGCAAGGGAAGAAAACUUAGCCACUAACAUUGGUUGAGGUUGACGGUACCUUGAUAAGAAGCACCGGCUAACUACGUGCCAGCCGCCGCCGUAA
Molecule: ribosomal RNA, 500 nt
Filed under: uncultured bacterium
Lineage: Bacteria
Description: partial 16S ribosomal RNA
Rfam family: Bacterial small subunit ribosomal RNA
Source: RNAcentral